RNAcentral lists this transfer RNA (68 nucleotides) under Caeparia donskoffi. Its description in RNAcentral is "tRNA-Val". It matches the Rfam family "tRNA". Rfam says of the family: Transfer RNA (tRNA) molecules are approximately 80 nucleotides in length. Their secondary structure includes four short double-helical elements and three loops (D, anti-codon, and T loops). Further hydrogen bonds mediate the characteristic L-shaped molecular structure. tRNAs have two regions of fundamental functional importance: the anti-codon, which is responsible for specific mRNA codon recognition, and the 3' end, to which the tRNAs corresponding amino acid is attached (by aminoacyl-tRNA synthetases). tRNAs cope with the degeneracy of the genetic code in two manners: having more than one tRNA (with a specific anti-codon) for a particular amino acid; and 'wobble' base-pairing, i.e. permitting non-standard base-pairing at the 3rd anti-codon position. Lineage: Eukaryota; Metazoa; Arthropoda; Insecta; Blattodea; Blaberidae. The record is from RNAcentral.
CAAAUUAUAUUUUAGGAAAAGAUUUCAUUUACAUUGAAAAAGGUGCUGUUCAAUUCAGCAUAAUUUGA